Molecule: ribosomal RNA, 252 nt
Filed under: uncultured prokaryote
Description: partial 16S rRNA
Rfam family: Archaeal small subunit ribosomal RNA
Source: RNAcentral
ACCGGCAGCUCAAGUGGUGGCCAUUUUUAUUGGGCCUAAAGCGUUCGUAGCCGGUUUGAUAAGUCUCUGGUGAAAUCUCACGGCUUAACCGUGAGAAUUGCUGGAGAUACUAUUAGACUUGAGGCCGGGAGAGGUUAGCGGUACUCCCAGGGGAGGGGGGAAAUCCUAUACUCCUGGGGGGACAACCUGUGGCGAAGGCGGCUAACUGGAACGGACCCGAGGGUGAGUAACGAAAGUCAGGGGCGGGAGCCG